RNAcentral lists this ribosomal RNA (414 nucleotides) under uncultured bacterium. Its description in RNAcentral is "bacterial SSU rRNA". It matches the Rfam family "Bacterial small subunit ribosomal RNA", at positions 355 to 765 of the family's 1533-position model. The record is from RNAcentral.
UCGAGGAUCUUCGGCAAUGAGCGAAAGCUUGACCGAGCGACACCGCGUGCGGGAUGAAGGCCUUCGGGUUGUAAACCGCUUUCGUAGGGGAGGAAAUUUCGGUGGAUCACCCAUCGAUUUGACCUAGCCUAGGAAGAAGGACGGGCUAAGUUCGUGCCAGCAGCCGCGGUAAUACGAACCGUCCAAACGUUAUUCGGAAUUACUGGGCUUAAAGGGUGCGUAGGCGGCCCGGGAAGUUGGGUGUGAAAGCCCUCGGCGCAACCGAGGAACGGCGCGCAAAACUGCCGGGCUAGAGGGAGAUAGAGGUGAGCGGAACUUAGGGUGGAGCGGUGAAAUGCGUUGAUAUCCUAAGGAAGAGCGGAGGCGAAAGCGGCUCAAUGGGUCUCUUAUGACGCUGAGGCACGAAAGCUAGGG